UACGGGGGGGGGCAAGCGUUGUUCGGAAUUACUGGGCGUAAAGGGCUCGUAGGCGGCCAACUAAGUCGGAUGUGAAAUCCCCAGGCUUAACCUGGGAACUGCAUCCGAUACUGGAUGGCUUGAAUCCGGGAGAGGGAUGCAGAAUUCCAGGUGUAGCGGUGAAAUGCGUAGAUAUCAGGAGGAACACCAAUGGCGAAGGCAGAUCUCUGGGCCGUAACUGACGCUGAGGAGCGAAAGCGUGGGGAGCGAACAGG
RNAcentral lists this ribosomal RNA (254 nucleotides) under uncultured bacterium. RNAcentral describes it as "partial 16S ribosomal RNA". It matches the Rfam family "Bacterial small subunit ribosomal RNA", at positions 524 to 776 of the family's 1533-position model. The record is from RNAcentral.